Molecule: ribosomal RNA, 468 nt
Filed under: uncultured bacterium
Lineage: Bacteria
Description: partial 16S ribosomal RNA
Rfam family: Bacterial small subunit ribosomal RNA
Source: RNAcentral
GACGAACGCUGGCGGCGUGCUUAACACAUGCAAGUCGAACGGAAAGGCCCUGCUUUUGUGGGGUGCUCGAGUGGCGAACGGGUGAGUAACACGUGAGUAACCUGCCCUUGACUUUGGGAUAACUUCAGGAAACUGGGGCUAAUACCGGAUAGGAGCUCCUGCUGCAUGGUGGGGGUUGGAAAGUUUCGGCGGUUGGGGAUGGACUCGCGGGUGAUCAGCUUGUUGGUGGGGUAGUGGCUUACCAAGGCUUUGACGGGUAGCCGGCCUGAGAGGGUGACCGGCCACAUUGGGCCUGAGAUACGGCCCAGACUCCUACGGGAGGCAGCAGUGGGGAAUAUUGCACAAUGGGCGGAAGCCUGAUGCAGCAACGCCGCGUGCGGGAUGACGGCCUUCGGGUUGUAAACCGCUUUCGCCUGUGACGAAGCGUGAGUGACGGUAAUGGGUAAAGAAGCACCGGCUAACUACGUG